UAAUACGGAGGAUGCGAGCGUUAUCCGGAUUUAUUGGGUUUAAAGGGUGCGUAGGCUGUUAUAUAAGUCAGUGGUGAAAUAUUCGGGCUCAACCGGGAUACUGCCAUUGAUACUGUAUAGCUGGAAUAUGGUUGCUGUGGGUGGAAUGUGUGGUGUAGCGGUGAAAUGCAUAGAUAUCACACAGAAUAUCGAUUGCGAAGGCAACUCACAAAGCCAUUAUUGACGCUGAUGCACGAAAGUGUGGGGAUCAAACAGGAUUAGAUACCCUGGUAGUCCACACUGUAAACGAUGAUAACUAGCUGUCGGCGAUAGAUAGUCGGUGGCUAAGCGAAAGCGAUAAGUUAUCCACCUGGGGAGUACGACCGCAAGGUUGAAACUCAAAGGAAUUGACGGGGGCCCGCACAAGCGGAGGAACAUGUGGUUUAAUUCGAUGAUACGCGAGGAACCUUACCCGGGCUCGAACGGUGCAGGAAUAUGGUAGAGAUAUCAUAGCUAGCAAUAGUCUGUAUCGAGGUGCUGCAUGGUUGUCGUCAGCUCGUGCCGUGAGGUGUCGGCUUAAGUGCCAUAACGAGCGCAACCCUUGUCGUUAGUUACCAUCAAGUAAAGUUGGGGACUCUAGCGAGACUGCCACCGUAAGGUGUGAGGAAGGGGGGGAUGACGUCAAAUCAGCACGGCCCUUACGUCCGGGGCGACACACGUGUUACAAUGGUAGGUACAGAGGGGCGCUAUCCAGUGAUGGAGUGCGAAUCUCAAAAACCUAUCUCAGUUCGGAUUGGAGUCUGCAACUCGACUCCAUGAAGUUGGAUUCGCUAGUAAUCGCGCAUCAGCCAUGGCGCGGUGAAUACGUUCCCGGGCCUUGUACACACCGCCCGUCAAGCCAUGNAAGCCGGGGGUGCCUGA
RNAcentral lists this ribosomal RNA (900 nucleotides) under uncultured Parabacteroides sp. RNAcentral describes it as "bacterial SSU rRNA". It matches the Rfam family "Bacterial small subunit ribosomal RNA", at positions 521 to 1424 of the family's 1533-position model. Lineage: Bacteria; Pseudomonadati; Bacteroidota; Bacteroidia; Bacteroidales; Tannerellaceae. The record is from RNAcentral.